This 200-nucleotide long non-coding RNA is filed under the name Olea europaea (common olive). RNAcentral describes it as "long non-coding RNA (OEUR_LNC011799)". Lineage: Eukaryota; Viridiplantae; Streptophyta; Magnoliopsida; Lamiales; Oleaceae. The record is from RNAcentral.
CCGGAACAUGUUCAAUAGGUACGGCCGCGAGGGGCGCCGUGUCCUGGGCAGCGACAGGCUCCGCAGCAGUGGGGUUUCUCUCUGGGAGGGCCACCCCAGUGGGAAUAGUUGUCUGCCGCAUAACUGGGGGUGGCCUCGCCACAGUUGGGCGUCUGGGAGGGGCAACACUUUUCUUGCCCUUCCUUCGGAGGUCGGCCUCC